This 253-nucleotide ribosomal RNA is filed under the name uncultured bacterium. Its description in RNAcentral is "partial 16S ribosomal RNA". It matches the Rfam family "Bacterial small subunit ribosomal RNA", at positions 524 to 776 of the family's 1533-position model. The record is from RNAcentral.
UACGUAGGGCGCAAGCGUGGUCCGGAAUUAUUGGGCGUAAAGAGCUCGUAGGCGGUUUGUCGCGUCUGCUGUGAAAACCUAAGGCUCAACCUUGGGCUUGCAGUGGGUACGGGCAGACUAGAGUGCGGUAGGGGUGACUGGAAUUCCUGGUGUAGCGGUGGAAUGCGCAGAUAUCAGGAGGAACACCGAUGGCGAAGGCAGGUCACUGGGCCGCAACUGACACUGAGGAGCGAAAGCAUGGGGAGCGAACAGG